CGUAGGGUGCAAGCAUUAAUCGGAAUUACUGGGCGUAAAGCGUGCGCAGGCGGUUGCGUAAGUCUGUCGUGAAAUCCCGGGCUCAACCUGGGAAUUGCGAUGGAGACUGCACGGCUAGAGUGUGUCAGAGGGGGGUAGAAUUCCACGUGUAGCAGUGAAAUGCGUAGAUAUGUGGAGGAACACCGAUGGCGAAGGCAGCCCCCUGGGAUAACACUGACGCUCAUGCACGAAAGCGUGGGGAGCAAACAGGAUUAGAUACCCUGGUAGUCCACGCCCUAAACGAUGUCUACUAGUUGUCGGGUCUUAAUUGACUUGGUAACGCAGCUAACGCGUGAAGUAGACCGCCUGGGGAGUACGGUCGCAAGAUUA
Molecule: ribosomal RNA, 369 nt
Filed under: uncultured organism
Description: bacterial SSU rRNA
Rfam family: Bacterial small subunit ribosomal RNA
Source: RNAcentral